UACGUAGGGCGCAAGCGUUGUCCGGAAUUAUUGGGCGUAAAGAGCUCUUAGGCGGCCAGUUGCGUCCGCUGUGAAAUCCCGGGGCUUAACCCCGGGCGUGCAGUGGAUACGGGCUGGCUAGAGGCAGGCAGGGGAGAACGGAAUUCCCGGUGUAGCGGUGAAAUGCGCAGAUAUCAGGAGGAACACCGAUGGCGAAGGCAGCCCCCUGGGUCAAGACUGACGCUCAUGCACGAAAGCGUGGGGAGCAAACAGG
Molecule: ribosomal RNA, 253 nt
Filed under: uncultured bacterium
Lineage: Bacteria
Description: partial 16S ribosomal RNA
Rfam family: Bacterial small subunit ribosomal RNA
Source: RNAcentral